Neofelis nebulosa (Clouded leopard) is the source of this 3022-nucleotide long non-coding RNA. RefSeq lists it as uncharacterized. The record is from RefSeq and is a predicted model, not a curated record. Lineage: Eukaryota; Metazoa; Chordata; Mammalia; Carnivora; Felidae. The transcript is spliced from 6 exons.
GCUAUAAUGGUAGUUAAGGGGCACAGAUACAUUGAAAUCUGCCCCCCUUGCCAGACUGGCAUCUCCACUGGCCUUAGUCAUCCCUACUUGUCCAACUUAUUCUUGUACAAUAGUGCCUUCUGUCUGGAAGGCCCUGCCCACCCCUAACAAGUCGCAGUCUAUACUUUCUGCAAGGGUCAGUUAAAAUCCUUCCUCUCCUAAUGUUAGACCUCAGUGAUCCCUCCUUCCCCACAGUCUACAGCACAGUCCACAACACAGACCAACGCUUGUUUUACUCUGCUAGGAUGCUCAAUUUUUCUCAGUAUUCCUUCCAGAAGCUUCUCAAAGGCAAGGGGGGUGUAGUUUCUUCAGUUACCUCAUUAUUUCCCUAGACCCCUGCAUGAGGCUGGUACGCAGCAACAUUUAAAUGAUACUUGCUGAGGUCCUGCUGACCCACAACUGACCCAUUAGAAGCCAGUCAGACAGGGUUGGGUUGGAAGGUGGCCCCAAGGACAGUGUCUUAGGCUGGAGGGAGAUGCCUGACACUGAAGGAGGCUGGUCCUCCCAGUUGUCCUCUGCCAACAUCCAGGAAUGAGGGCUCUACAUGAGGGGCUGUCUGUGGAUAUAGCUGGUUCACCCAGUCUGCAUCUGAGCCCUAGAAGUCAAGUACCACAUCUUAUACUUUUCCUGUGUACCCUCUAGAUGUACCCAGUACUGUGCUGAGAACAUGGUGUUUCCAAAAAUAUUUGUUCAAUCAAAGCACUAAUUCAGUUUGGGAGGGGACUACUUUGAUGUUCCAAUUUUUUGUUUCUGUUCAAUAAGCUAAAUAUGGUUCUGGUUCAAAUUGUUUUAUCAUGGUUCUUCAUGCUAGAAUUUAAGCUCCAAGAGGGCAGAGAUUAUUCAUCUCUUUUUCAGUCAUGUUCCUGUCACCUAACACAGUACCUGGGACAUAGUAAGUUUUUAAUAAGUAUCUACUGAAUGAAGCGUAUCCUCAAGGCUCCAUUUUGUGUGGGUGGUUCUCCUUUUCCAUGCUCUGCCUGCUCCCCUUAUCUAUUUCCGGAGACACCUACCUUUAUAGCUGGCCUCCUCUUGGAUGUCUUGUAGGCAUAUGUCCAAAAUGGAAAUCUGUACCUUCCUCCAAAACUAUCUGUCUUUAUGUGCUAGCCCCUAUCCAGUCAAUGACAUCACUUACCUAGCAACUUGUAACAGAACUAAGUCUACUUUGUAUUUGUUUUUCUCUUCCUUGCGCCUAAUUCUCUCCCAUCUAUGAUGUAGAUUAGAUUAGCCAGGCAUGAAAGGCUCUUUAAGAUGUAGCCCUGCCUCACCGCUCACCAUCUCAUGUACCCCUGGACUCUAAGCAGAGUGAACUGCUCCCCACAGGUCAGGCUCUUUCACCUGGCUAUGCCUUUGCAUACACAGUUCACUAUAACUAGAAUUUUCUCGUUUACAGGAUGUCUAUUCAUCUUUGAGGUCCAGCUCCACUGUCUCUCUUCCCGGGAUACAUCCAGUGUUGUGGCAGCUUCCUCCUCUUGCUCCCUAGCAUUUUGUCCAGGUUUCAUCACAACACCUAGAACAAUAAAUUCUAUCACUGCCUGUCUCCUGCCUCAUGAUAGGAACUUCUUAAGGGAGUGAGUAGAUGUAUGAAAAUGGAACAUCUCUACCUGCAAACAGGAACAGGAACCAGGGAGAUCUUUGGAAAGCUCUCAGCAUACUACCAUUCACUAAUAAGAACAAUAAAAACUGAGAAGGUUUUACUAAGUAUCAGGAACUCAUUUAAUUCUUCCCCUGAGUUAAAAUGAGGGAUAGAAGCUCAGAGAGAAGUAACUUGCCAAGACUUGAAAUCAAGCUUCCCAGAUGCAGUACUUUCCUGCCUGAUGAUAUCUGCCACAUUCAGACUCAGUUUCUCAGGACAAGAGGGGGUGUGGAAAGGGAGUUCCUCAAGAGGUAAUGGCCAGUUUAUUGGAGCAGAUGGGGGAAUCUGUGUUUUCAACCACGUGGGUGAAGACAGGAGAUGGCACAUCAGCUGUUGCAAAGGAUACACAGCAACUGGGUAUCAAUACUUUCCGCUCUGUCAAGGGGAUCCCUGAAGUGGAACACAGUAGAAUGACUGACUUUAGGGUGCCGGAAAGAAUGUGCUGGAAGCCUCCCAUUAUACAGGCUGUGUUCCAGCCCUUAUGAGGACCUACAGCAGAAGUUUUUCUUCAGUCAUCUCAGUUUACCCAAAAGAUGAUUCUCUGUUUUACAGAAGCUGACAAAUGUUGGUAGGAAAAUGUGAGGUCCACACAAGGAGGAUGAAUGUCCUGAAUUACAUUCAUUACAAAGUCAACCUUACAGUUGUGAUACGUAGAGAGCAGACUUUUCAUAUAAGAUCUCAAUAGGCUGCCUAAACCUACUUACCUAAACUGUUAUUCAAAGAAAUACAGUUGUUUGUGGAGGACACAAUUUAAGUUAGAAAAUGUAACAUUAAAAAUUUUAAUUUAUUUAUGAGGAAAAAAACAACAAAAAUGAAGACAGUUGGUGAUACUAGAUAGUCUAUAAAUGAACUAACAAGAUAACCACUAGCCACAAGUGGCUAUUUAACUUUAAAUUAAAUUCAUGAAAAUAAAGAUGAAAAAUUCAGUUUCUCAGUUGCAUUGGCAACUCAAUGCAUUUCAAGCGCUCAAUUGCCACAUGUGGCUACUGGCCACCAUACUGGACAAUAAAGAUACAGAACAUCUCCAUCACAGUACAGAGUUCUUUUGGACAGUGCUGAGUAAUUGAGACUCUGUAUAAUAUAGAGUCUAUGUAUUCCACAAGAUCACUUUCAGCUCUGAAUCUCUGCUAUGAAUCUUAGGAUUACAGAUGAAGGAAAGAAAAAAGAAGAAGUGUGUCUUAAACAUAACUUAAGCAACCCAGAGGAACAAAAAACUCGCAUCAUCACUACUACCACAGGGCCUCCCAGCAUCCAAGAUAUAAAAUGGCUUCAGUGCGUUCUGUUUCCUACAACUGAACACUCCCUGACACAGCUGCUCUCUCUUUCUCCCACUUUCCUUAGAAAGUCUCA